This is a regulatory RNA element of Citrobacter koseri ATCC BAA-895, 164 nucleotides long. It matches the Rfam family "rncO". Rfam says of the family: This family represents a bacterial regulatory element (rncO) found in the rnc leader sequence. The rnc operon is negatively auto-regulated by transcript stability. rnc, the first gene in the operon codes for RNase III which cleaves the long rncO stem II leading to transcript degradation and a reduction in translation. The record is from Rfam. Lineage: Bacteria; Pseudomonadati; Pseudomonadota; Gammaproteobacteria; Enterobacterales; Enterobacteriaceae.
GAAGUUUUAGGUUGGCGCCGUCAGGUUGCCACGGCACACUAAACAGCGUUGGUUUCCUCAGGUCUGUUUCGUGUGCUGAAUUGUUGACGCAUUCAUUUAUUGGUAUCGCAUGAACCCCAUCGUAAUUAAUCGGCUUCAACGGAAGCUGGGCUACACUUUUACUC